RNAcentral lists this ribosomal RNA (2789 nucleotides) under Escherichia coli. RNAcentral describes it as "bacterial LSU rRNA". It matches the Rfam family "Bacterial large subunit ribosomal RNA". The record is from RNAcentral. Lineage: Bacteria; Pseudomonadati; Pseudomonadota; Gammaproteobacteria; Enterobacterales; Enterobacteriaceae.
AGCGUACACGGUGGAUGCCCUGGCAGUCAGAGGCGAUGAAGGACGUGCUAAUCUGCGAUAAGCGUCGGUAAGGUGAUAUGAACCGUUAUAACCGGCGAUUUCCGAAUGGGGAAACCCAGUGUGUUUCGACACACUAUCAUUAACUGAAUCCAUAGGUUAAUGAGGCGAACCGGGGGAACUGAAACAUCUAAGUACCCCGAGGAAAAGAAAUCAACCGAGAUUCCCCCAGUAGCGGCGAGCGAACGGGGAGCAGCCCAGAGCCUGAAUCAGUGUGUGUGUUAGUGGAAGCGUCUGGAAAGGCGCGCGAUACAGGGUGACAGCCCCGUACACAAAAAUGCACAUGCUGUGAGCUCGAUGAGUAGGGCGGGACACGUGGUAUCCUGUCUGAAUAUGGGGGGACCAUCCUCCAAGGCUAAAUACUCCUGACUGACCGAUAGUGAACCAGUACCGUGAGGGAAAGGCGAAAAGAACCCCGGCGAGGGGAGUGAAAAAGAACCUGAAACCGUGUACGUACAAGCAGUGGGAGCACGCUUAGGCGUGUGACUGCGUACCUUUUGUAUAAUGGGUCAGCGACUUAUAUUCUGUAGCAAGGUUAACCGAAUAGGGGAGCCGAAGGGAAACCGAGUCUUAACUGGGCGUUAAGUUGCAGGGUAUAGACCCGAAACCCGGUGAUCUAGCCAUGGGCAGGUUGAAGGUUGGGUAACACUAACUGGAGGACCGAACCGACUAAUGUUGAAAAAUUAGCGGAUGACUUGUGGCUGGGGGUGAAAGGCCAAUCAAACCGGGAGAUAGCUGGUUCUCCCCGAAAGCUAUUUAGGUAGCGCCUCGUGAAUUCAUCUCCGGGGGUAGAGCACUGUUUCGGCAAGGGGGUCAUCCCGACUUACCAACCCGAUGCAAACUGCGAAUACCGGAGAAUGUUAUCACGGGAGACACACGGCGGGUGCUAACGUCCGUCGUGAAGAGGGAAACAACCCAGACCGCCAGCUAAGGUCCCAAAGUCAUGGUUAAGUGGGAAACGAUGUGGGAAGGCCCAGACAGCCAGGAUGUUGGCUUAGAAGCAGCCAUCAUUUAAAGAAAGCGUAAUAGCUCACUGGUCGAGUCGGCCUGCGCGGAAGAUGUAACGGGGCUAAACCAUGCACCGAAGCUGCGGCAGCGACGCUUAUGCGUUGUUGGGUAGGGGAGCGUUCUGUAAGCCUGCGAAGGUGUGCUGUGAGGCAUGCUGGAGGUAUCAGAAGUGCGAAUGCUGACAUAAGUAACGAUAAAGCGGGUGAAAAGCCCGCUCGCCGGAAGACCAAGGGUUCCUGUCCAACGUUAAUCGGGGCAGGGUGAGUCGACCCCUAAGGCGAGGCCGAAAGGCGUAGUCGAUGGGAAACAGGUUAAUAUUCCUGUACUUGGUGUUACUGCGAAGGGGGGACGGAGAAGGCUAUGUUGGCCGGGCGACGGUUGUCCCGGUUUAAGCGUGUAGGCUGGUUUUCCAGGCAAAUCCGGAAAAUCAAGGCUGAGGCGUGAUGACGAGGCACUACGGUGCUGAAGCAACAAAUGCCCUGCUUCCAGGAAAAGCCUCUAAGCAUCAGGUAACAUCAAAUCGUACCCCAAACCGACACAGGUGGUCAGGUAGAGAAUACCAAGGCGCUUGAGAGAACUCGGGUGAAGGAACUAGGCAAAAUGGUGCCGUAACUUCGGGAGAAGGCACGCUGAUAUGUAGGUGAAGCGACUUGCUCGUGGAGCUGAAAUCAGUCGAAGAUACCAGCUGGCUGCAACUGUUUAUUAAAAACACAGCACUGUGCAAACACGAAAGUGGACGUAUACGGUGUGACGCCUGCCCGGUGCCGGAAGGUUAAUUGAUGGGGUUAGCCGCAAGGCGAAGCUCUUGAUCGAAGCCCCGGUAAACGGCGGCCGUAACUAUAACGGUCCUAAGGUAGCGAAAUUCCUUGUCGGGUAAGUUCCGACCUGCACGAAUGGCGUAAUGAUGGCCAGGCUGUCUCCACCCGAGACUCAGUGAAAUUGAACUCGCUGUGAAGAUGCAGUGUACCCGCGGCAAGACGGAAAGACCCCGUGAACCUUUACUAUAGCUUGACACUGAACAUUGAGCCUUGAUGUGUAGGAUAGGUGGGAGGCUUUGAAGUGUGGACGCCAGUCUGCAUGGAGCCGACCUUGAAAUACCACCCUUUAAUGUUUGAUGUUCUAACGUUGACCCGUAAUCCGGGUUGCGGACAGUGUCUGGUGGGUAGUUUGACUGGGGCGGUCUCCUCCUAAAGAGUAACGGAGGAGCACGAAGGUUGGCUAAUCCUGGUCGGACAUCAGGAGGUUAGUGCAAUGGCAUAAGCCAGCUUGACUGCGAGCGUGACGGCGCGAGCAGGUGCGAAAGCAGGUCAUAGUGAUCCGGUGGUUCUGAAUGGAAGGGCCAUCGCUCAACGGAUAAAAGGUACUCCGGGGAUAACAGGCUGAUACCGCCCAAGAGUUCAUAUCGACGGCGGUGUUUGGCACCUCGAUGUCGGCUCAUCACAUCCUGGGGCUGAAGUAGGUCCCAAGGGUAUGGCUGUUCGCCAUUUAAAGUGGUACGCGAGCUGGGUUUAGAACGUCGUGAGACAGUUCGGUCCCUAUCUGCCGUGGGCGCUGGAGAACUGAGGGGGGCUGCUCCUAGUACGAGAGGACCGGAGUGGACGCAUCACUGGUGUUCGGGUUGUCAUGCCAAUGGCACUGCCCGGUAGCUAAAUGCGGAAGAGAUAAGUGCUGAAAGCAUCUAAGCACGAAACUUGCCCCGAGAUGAGUUCUCCCUGACUCCUUGA